This is a long non-coding RNA of Saccostrea cuccullata (small rock oyster), 2316 nucleotides long. RefSeq lists it as uncharacterized. The record is from RefSeq and is a predicted model, not a curated record. Lineage: Eukaryota; Metazoa; Mollusca; Bivalvia; Ostreida; Ostreidae. The transcript has 4 exons.
UAUCAUCGUUGGAAAUGAUGCAGUUGGAGGCGGCGGGCUCUUCAUCGUUGGAGGACUUGGAGGAGGCUGGGCAUAUUGGAACAGCAUGCCAACAACGCUGGAGUAGAGGUAUUGCUUAGUUGUUAAGGAAAAGCAAAGGUGAGUUGGUUUCAUUAUCAUUUGUGCACUCUUACUAAUUUGUACUAACAUUUCCCUUCCCUCACCCACUCUCAACACAUAUUUUGUAGUAGUUCUUUCUUUCUGUUUUUUUGUUCUGUUGUUUUUUCUUUGUCUAAUCUUCUCUGUUCUCUCUUUGCCGGGAUAUCAUCGUUGGAAAUGUGCAGUUGGAGGCGGGCUGGCUCUUCAUCGUUGGAGGAUUUGGAGGAGGCUGGGCAUAUUGGAACAGCAUGCCAACAACGCUGGACUGGAGGUUUUUUUUGUAUUAUUUUGAUGUUAGGUCUCUUUGUUAUUUUAGUUCUUACUUUUUGAUUUCUAUUUUGUUUCCUUUGUUAGUAUAUGUUGUUAUUUGUUCAUUAGGUUUUUAUUAUUGUUAUUUGUUUAUUGAGUUGUUGUUAUAGUUUUUUUGUUUAUGAGGGUUGUAAAAGUUGUUAAUUUUCAUGUUUUAUUUGUUAUUUGUUACAUUAUGUUUUUAAGGUAUUUAUUAGUUGACAUUGUUAUGAGUUUCAGUUAUUUGUUAUUGAGGCAGUCAUGAAUUUUACUUGUAAGGAGCUCAAGUUAUUUGCUUUUGUUGUGAUUUUUAAGUAUUUGUUAUUGUUAUGAGUGUUAGUUAGUUGUUAUUGUUAUAAGUUUUAUUUAGUUGUUAUAAGUUUAGUUAUUUUUUAUAGUUAUGAGUUUUAGUUAUUUGCUUUAGUUGAGAUUUUUAGUUAUUUGUUAUGAUAGUUAUGAAUUUAUGUUAAUUAUUAUUGUUCUGAGUUUUAUUUGUUAUUGCAUUUAUUAUUCCAAGGAAUAUGUCUAAUGUUCAUUGUUGUGUUGUGCAUUAGCAUCAACAUUAGACAUGUUGGAUAAUGAGGAAACAGUGUGUUUCACCCAAAACAUCCGUCUUAUCGAGGGCCUUAAUACAGUAAAACUUGGUUUUAAAGAAGUCGCUGGAACCUAUGACAUUAAUAUUUCGCUAUAUGCAUAAUUUGUUAUAUUCGUGAAAUGAUUUCACAAAAUUUUUAAAGCUAGGGAUUCAAGAUAACUUCACUAUAUCUGUGAAUUCACAAUAUCUGUCUUUGUACCAAACAAGUUUUACUGUAUCUAUUAUUUUAGCUCUAUUUUAAAAUUUUGUUAGUAUUUUGUAGUUGGACAAUUCACUAAAGAUGAAGAGAAAUAAGCCAAAUUCUAAACCAUCAUCGAUAAGCAGAUGCACCCUACUGUCCUUGAUGGAAACAGCAGAUGCACUCCACUGGCCUUGAUGGAAACAGCAGAUGUAUCCUACUGACCAUGUUGGAGACAGCAAAUGGACCCAACAGGACAUGAUGGAAACAGUAGAUGCACUCCUUGGACUUGGUGGAUACAGAAGCUGGACCCAACAGGUGGAUACAACUGGAGGAGACUUGCCUGAUGAUGUUGACCUUCCAAACAAGACAUAUCAAAAGAGAUAAUUGACACUGAUCAGCCUGGCUUAUUUUUAGCUCUACUGGUCAGAGACGAAAAAGUUUGCGAUUGUAAACAAGGGCAUGACAUGUUUGAAACAGCUGGAGGAGGCAGGGCCAAUGGAUGCUAAUCUUCCAAGAUGUUGAAACAGCAGAUGACUUCAACAAGACCUGUGUAACAGCAGCUGCACCCAACUGGACACUGAUGGAAACAACUGGAUGAAGCAUAGCUAGUACUUGCUGAUCUUCCAAGAUGUGGAAACAGCAAAUGCACCCAACAGUACAUGAUGAAAACAGUAGAUUAACCUAAAAGAAUCUGAUAGAAACAACUGGAGGAUGAAUAGCCAAAUGAUGCUGAUAUGAAAUUUAUCAGUUGCAGCCAACAGAACCUUGUGGAAACUGCUGGAGUGCAGACAAGCUUGAUGAACCUCUUUUAAGAUGGGAAAACAGCAAAUACUUCUAAAAGGACUUAAUGAAAUAAAUCUUGAGGAGGCAAGGCCAUUAUGAAUCUUGAGGCAAACUUGAUGGACAAUGAUUUUCCAAUAUGUGAAAACACCUGCGCUGCACCAAAAAGGAAUUGGCGGAAAGAAGGGAAAACAGCAAAUACUUCUAAAAAGACAGUGAAAUAAAUCUUGAGGAGGCAAGGCCAUCAUGAAUCUUGAGGCAAACUUGAUGGACAAUGAUUUUCCAAUAUGUGAAAACACCAGCUACACCCAAAAGGAAUUGGUGGAAACAAUUA